This 818-nucleotide long non-coding RNA is filed under the name Sus scrofa (pig). RNAcentral's name for it is "lncRNA (ENSSSCG00065033161.1)". The record is from RNAcentral. Lineage: Eukaryota; Metazoa; Chordata; Mammalia; Artiodactyla; Suidae.
AUGGUAUCUAUUACCCAUGAGAGACGUCUUCAUCAUAGCUUCACUGGGUUAUUAUAUAGCAGGAUUAAAUCUGUGGCCACAAGUUUUCUGAAGACACCAAUAAUCUCAUUAAAGACUAUGAGGACGCCCAAUGAUUUGCAGCUGUGGAUGAAUCUCUGCGUGAGGAAACUCAGUAGACCAAGCAUUAUGAUUCCUCAGACAACUUCUGGGAAGGUAAUAAUUUAAGAAUUUUUAUACCAUCCUUAUGGAAAAUUAUACAUAAGGAAAAAAAUUUCUUCUAAAAUAAUUUUUAAAACUCAGUUUCUAACAGUUCGGGAGUUCCUCAAAAAGCUAAAAACAGAAUUGUCAUAUGACUUAACAGUUCAACUCCUCAGCAUAUAUCCAAAAAGAUUGAAAACAGAGGAACAGACACUAGUACACACAGUACAUCAUAUAAUUCACAAUAACCAAAAGGUGAAAACAAUCCAAAUAUCCAUCAACAAAUGAGUGUAUAAACAAAGUGUGGCAUAUACUACAAUGAAUGAAAAACUAUUCAUCCUGAAAAAAAAUGAGGUUCUGAUACAUGCUACGACAUGACAAACCUUGAAAACAUUAUGCUAAUGAAAUAAGCCAGACACACAAAAGGAUAAAUAGCAUAAGAUUCCACUUAGAUGAAAUAUAAAGAAUAGGCAAAUUGAUAGAAACAGAAAGUAGAUUUGAAUUUUUCAAGAGUUGAAGAAGAGGAAAAUGGGGAGUUAUAACAAUGCUUACAGUUUCUAUUUGAACUCAUCGAAAAGUUUGGAAAGAGCGAUGAUGCUUGUGAAUGUAAUUAAUGGCAC